RNAcentral lists this ribosomal RNA (387 nucleotides) under uncultured bacterium. RNAcentral describes it as "bacterial SSU rRNA". It matches the Rfam family "Bacterial small subunit ribosomal RNA", at positions 29 to 416 of the family's 1533-position model. The record is from RNAcentral.
AUUGAACGCUGGCGGCAUGCCUUACACAUGCAAGUCGAACGGCAGCACGGGAGCAAUCCUGGUGGCGAGUGGCGAACGGGUGAGUAAUAUAUCGGAACGUGCCCAGUCGUGGGGGAUAACGUAGCGAAAGCUACGCUAAUACCGCAUACGAUCUAUGGAUGAAAGCGGGGGAUCGCAAGACCUCGCGCGAUUGGAGCGGCCGAUAUCAGAUUAGGUAGUUGGUGAGGUAAAGGCUCACCAAGCCGACGAUCUGUAGCUGGUUUGAGAGAACGACCAGCCACACUGGGACUGAGACACGGCCCAGACUCCUACGGGAGGCAGCAGUGGGGAAUUUUGGGACAAUGGGCGAAAGCCUGAUCCAGCAAUGCCGCGUGCAGGAAGAAGGCC